UGUCAAGGAACUUAAAUGGGUAUUCAGGAAAAAGAAUUCUUGUUUCCCUUUCCUCACCUUGCCAGUUAAAUAACUCCUGGUGACACUUCAGGUGGUAGAAUUGAAACACAAACCUGACUUCUGACCACAUGGGUCAAAGGCAAAAGGCAAAUGGCUUCAAAGCCCUUAGUGUGCUUAUCCAGUUCAGGCAGUGAGGAGAUAACCUCUGCUUUCCUCCCUGAGGAGUUUGGAGUAUUUAAGGGGGGAUGGGGGGGGUGUCACUUUGAAAAUAUGUUGCUUUUUCUCCUGAUUGUAUUGAGGCUGAUAUGGAAGGGUUAUUUCUUUCUGGCCAAUACUUUUUGGUAUUUCUAAAUAUUGCAAUCUUGAUUUUUACUAUUAAAUUUGUUAAUUGUCAGUUCUGGCUUUUUUGCAUAAAGAGUUGGUCCAUUAACUUGCCAAUUUGAAGCUUCUAACUAGAUAUUCCCUACUGAAAGUUUUGGAUUUGUUUUUAGUUUGUGGAGCAGUCUUAGCUGGGGACAGGUAAUUGACAACGGCAGAGAUACUUUUCCUAGGAUUCUAAGUCUGUAAUCCACAUCCUCAAUGUAUUCACAGGACUUUAAAAUUCUCUCCAAAUGAGGAAGGAAAUAUCCUGUUGCUUUCUAAUGUUUACUAAAAGUUGUGUUUAGAACAACAGAUUUUAAUAGGCAUCUUCCUUUGUUAUGUGUCAUAGCCCUUUGCCCGUUUACCUUAGGGCUCUUUGAAGGAGAAAUGGAUGGGAGAAAACCUGUCACUUGGCGAAAGUAAAAGGGAUAAUUAACUGGCUCAGAGCUUAUGUGCAGAGUUCCAAGCCCCAAAGUUAAUCUAGAACUACUCGAUAACACCAAUAAAAAUAUUUAUUUCACAUCUGUUAUAUAUCUGGAAAAUGUUCUAAGCAUCUUACAUAUAUUUUUCAUUAAAUCCACAGGUGACCAUUGUGAGGUAGAUAUUUUGUUCUAAUUUUCCAGAUGAGGAAGCUGAGACCCUAAAAGGCUGACCGGUUCCCUGAUGUGUUACCUGCUUCUGCUACUGAUCCAAACUGCAGAACUUCUCAUUCAUCCCCAAGGCCUCCAGGCAGUAUCCAAUGGGGAAUCAGCUCUAAAAGGAACCAGACCAACGUUUUCCAGCCCCUUCAUUCUGUAGCUUCCCUCUGUGUGAGGAAAGGAUAGAAAUGUUCAGGACAUCAUCAUACAGGCUCCUCAUCUACAAAGUUCCAGUAGCAGUGACGCCUACACGGAAGACUUGGAACUGCAAACAGGCUGGGGUCACCUCAGUGACAUCUGACGCUGUCCAACCAGAAGUUCGAUUUUUGUUCUGGGGGUGAAGGAGGAAACAGACUGUACUAAAGGACUAAAAUAA
RNAcentral lists this long non-coding RNA (1374 nucleotides) under Pan troglodytes (chimpanzee). RNAcentral describes it as "long non-coding RNA NONPTRT007267". Lineage: Eukaryota; Metazoa; Chordata; Mammalia; Primates; Hominidae. The record is from RNAcentral.